UACGUAGGUGGCAAGCGUUAUCCGGAAUUAUUGGGCGUAAAGCGCGCGCAGGCGGUUUCUUAAGUCUGAUGUGAAAGCCCACGGCUCAACCGUGGAGGGUCAUUGGAAACUGGGGAACUUGAGUGCAGAAGAGAAAAGCGGAAUUCCACGUGUAGCGGUGAAAUGCGUAGAGAUGUGGAGGAACACCAGUGGCGAAGGCGGCGACCUGGACGGACACUGACGCUGAGACGCGAAAGCGUGGGGAGCAAACAGG
RNAcentral lists this ribosomal RNA (253 nucleotides) under uncultured bacterium. RNAcentral describes it as "partial 16S ribosomal RNA". It matches the Rfam family "Bacterial small subunit ribosomal RNA", at positions 524 to 776 of the family's 1533-position model. The record is from RNAcentral.